Long non-coding RNA from Carassius gibelio (silver crucian carp), 475 nucleotides. RefSeq lists it as uncharacterized. The transcript is spliced from 4 exons. The record is from RefSeq and is a predicted model, not a curated record. Lineage: Eukaryota; Metazoa; Chordata; Actinopteri; Cypriniformes; Cyprinidae.
UGUUGCUAUGCAGUAAUGUGUUGUUGGUGGUUUCCAAGGUGUUGCUAUGCAGUAAUGUGUUGUUGGUGGUUUCCAAGGUGUUGCUAUGCAGUAAUGUGUUGUGGGUGGUUUCCAAGGUGUUGCUAUGCAGUAAUGUGUUGUGGGUGGUUUCCAAGGUGUUGCUAUGCAGUAAUGUGUUGUGGGUGGUUUCCAAGGUGUUGCUAUGCAGUAAUGUGUUGUGGGUGGUUUCCAAGGUGUUGCUAUGCAGUAAUGUGUUGUGGGUGGUUUCCAAGGUGUUGCUAUGCAGUUAUGUGUUGUGGGUGGUUUCCAAGGUGUUGCUAUGCAGUAAUGUGUUGUGGGUAGUUUCCAAGGUGUUGCUAUGCAGUAAUGUGUUGUGGGUGGUUUCCAAGGUGUUGCUAUGCAGUUAUGUGUUGUGGGUGGUUUCCAAGUUGUUGCUAUGAAGUAAUGUGUUGUGGGUGGUUUCCAAGGUGUUGCU